RNAcentral lists this ribosomal RNA (253 nucleotides) under uncultured bacterium. RNAcentral's name for it is "partial 16S ribosomal RNA". It matches the Rfam family "Bacterial small subunit ribosomal RNA", at positions 524 to 776 of the family's 1533-position model. The record is from RNAcentral.
UACAGAGGGGGCUAGCGUUGUUCGGAAUUACUGGGCGUAAAGGGCGCGUAGGCGGCCCUCUAAGUCGAACGUGAAAUCCCCGGGCUCAACCCGGGAACUGCGUCCGAUACUGGAGGGCUCGAAUCCGGGAGAGGGAUGUGGAAUUCCAGGUGUAGCGGUGAAAUGCGUAGAUAUCGGGAGGAACACCAGUGGCGAAGGCGACUACCUGGCCUGUUCUUGACGCUGAGGCGCGAAAGCUAGGGGAGCAAACGGG